Numida meleagris (helmeted guineafowl) is the source of this 12419-nucleotide RNA transcript. It is a transcript of the gene named DNA polymerase theta, with no coding region annotated. The record is from RefSeq and is a predicted model, not a curated record. Lineage: Eukaryota; Metazoa; Chordata; Aves; Galliformes; Numididae. The transcript is spliced from 32 exons.
GGGGCUGCCUUUUGAAUGGCGCGGCGGGAAGAUGGCGGCGUCACCGCUAACGGCGGCGCCGCAGCCUCGGCGGCGGGGCUCCGCAGUGUGGCUGGCGGCAGGGCGGUCCGGGCUGCCCCGCUGGGCCCCGCGGCCCCCUGCCGCAUCGUACUUAGCCCCCCGCCCGGCCUCGAGGUCUCCCUGUGCGGCAGCGGGAGCCCUGGCGGCGGCUCGGCAGGACAAUACCAGCAGGUAAAUGUUCCUGAAGAUCAAGCAGACAAGUUGCUCCUUGCAAGCUGGGGUCUUCCCAAAGCAGUUUUGGAGAAAUACCACAGUCUGGGAGUAGUACAGAUGUUUGAAUGGCAAGCAGAGUGCCUAAUGCUCGGACAAGUUCUGGAAGGGAAGAACUUGGUUUACUCAGCUCCUACCAGUGCUGGAAAGACACUUGUUGCAGAAUUGCUCAUUUUGAAGCGAGUCUUAGAGACUCGUAAGAAAGCUCUUUUCAUCCUUCCCUUUGUCUCUGUGGCCAAGGAGAAGAAAUCUUAUCUGCAGGCCCUUUUUCAGGAGGUAGAUGUGAGAGUUGAAGGCUACAUGGGAAGCAUCUCUCCUGCUGGACAUUUCUCUUCGCUGGAUGUUGCUGUCUGCACCAUUGAGAAAGCCAAUGGUCUAAUCAAUAGACUAAUAGAAGAAAACCAAAUGGACUCACUGGGAGUGGUGGUUGUGGAUGAAUUGCAUAUGCUUGGAGACUCUCAUCGAGGAUAUCUGUUGGAACUCCUUCUGACCAAAGUUCGAUACAUUACAGAGAAAGCUACAAAAAGAAAGACAAAGAUGACGAGUCCUGGUUUUGGAGGAAUACAGGUAGUAGGCAUGAGUGCUACCCUCCCUAACUUGGGACUUCUAGCCUCGUGGUUAGAUGCAGAAUUGUACUGUACAGAUUUUCGCCCUGUGCCCCUCAAGGAGUGGGUGAAAAUUGGCAACAACAUUUAUGACUCUUCCAUGAAUUUGGUGCGAGAAGUCCAGCCCAAACUUCAACUGAAGGGAGAUGAAGACCAUGUUGUGAGCCUGUGCUAUGAGACUGUUUGUGAUGGCCAUUCAGUCCUGCUUUUCUGUCCAUCCAAGAAUUGGUGUGAGAAGCUGGCAGACAUCAUUGCCAGGGAAUUCUACAGUUUGCAACAGGCAGAAAGUUCUGCAAAGAACUCAUCCCUUCCCCCAGUAGUUGUGGACAAAGAAGGGAUAGAUGAGAUCCUGGAUCAGCUAAGGCGCUCUCUCUCAGGUCUGGACUCUGUGCUCCAACGUACUUUACCGUGGGGAGUGGCAUUUCAUCAUGCAGGUCUUACGUUUGACGAACGGGACAUCAUCGAAGGAGCCUUUCGCCGGGGCAUGAUUAGAGUUCUAGCAGCCACCUCCACACUCUCCUCUGGAGUGAAUUUGCCUGCGCGCAGAGUAAUUAUACGAACACCCAUGUUUGGUGGCACACUGCUGGAUGUUCUCACUUACAAACAGAUGGCUGGAAGGGCUGGCAGGAAAGGAGUAGACACGGAGGGUGAGAGCAUUUUAGUUUGCAAGCCAUCAGAAAGAUCAAAAGGAACUGCUCUACUUCAGGGAUCUCUCAAGCCUGUUUGCAGUUGUUUGCUUAGAAGAGAAGGGGAAGGUGUUGCUUCUAGCAUGAAAAGAGCAAUACUUGAGAUCAUUGUGAGUGGAGUUGCCAACACUCCAGAGGAUGUGCAGACCUAUGCCUCUUGCACUCUUCUUGCAUCCAGCUUGAAAGACAGCAAGCAAGCAAAUGAGAAAGAACAAGACAAAGUGCAGACAGGACCUAUUGAGGCUUGUAUAGCAUGGCUACUGGAGAAUGAAUUCAUUCAGGUUCUGGAACAUGCCAGUGACAAGAAGGCAAAGAUUUUUCACCCAACACAUCUUGGCUCAGCUACUCUUUCAUCUUCUCUUUCACCAACUGAAGCAAUGGAAAUUUUUGCUGACCUACAGCGAGCUAUGAAAAGCUUUGUUCUGGAGAAUGAUCUGCAUAUUGUCUAUUUGGUCACCCCUGUGUAUGAGGAUUGGACCACAAUUGAUUGGUACCAGUUUUUCUGCUUAUGGGAGAAGCUGCCUGCCUCAAUGAAGCGCGUGGCUGAGCUGGUGGGGAUUGAAGAAGGCUUUCUGGCUCGCUCUGUAAAAGGCAAAAUCACAGCUAAAACAGAGAAGCAGUACAGACAAAUGGCCAUCCACAAAAGAUUUUUCACCAGUCUUGCCCUCCUGGAUUUAAUCAGUGAAGUUCCCUUAAAAGAUAUGACCAAGAAAUAUGGUUGUAGUCGUGGCCAGCUUCAAUCCUUACAACAGUCUGCUGCCACCUACGCAGGAAUGGUAACAGUUUUCUGCAAUCGACUGGGUUGGCACAACAUGGAGCUGUUGCUCUCCCAGUUCCAGAGCCGCCUCACUUUUGGAGUUCACAGGGAGCUUUGUGACCUGGUACGAGUCUCUCUGCUGAAUGCACAGCGUGCUAGGAUGCUUUACAACGCUGGCUUUGUCACAGUGGCUGAUCUUGCUAAAGCCAGUCCUGGUGAAGUGGCAACUGCUUUGAAGAAUUCAGUACCAUUCAAAAGUGGUCGCAGGGCUGUGGAUGAAGAUGAAGAAUCGGCAGAGGAGCGUCGGACUGUGUGCAGCAUCUGGAUGGCCGGAAUGAAGGGUUUAACUGAAAGUGAAGCAGCUUCCCUCAUUGUGGAGGAAGCCAGGGGACUUCUUCAGCAGGACUUGGCAGUGAUGGGAGUGCAGUGGAACCCAGAGUCUUUUCUUGAGGCUGAUACAUCGUCUACGAUCAGCAGUGAGUCAGAGAUGGAAGACAGACUACAUAAGCCUGAUGGAGAACUAUCUUCUGAAUCUUCUGUGAUCUUAAACAAAAAAGAGUGCGAAGUUCAGAAUCAUAAGGGCCUUGGCUCUCAGGCUGGAAACCUAUCAAAUAUUAAAAAGGGAUAUAAAAGGCGGCUAAGCAGUAGUACAGCAAACUCCGGAUUUGAGAGUGAAGUCACAUACAGGAAACAGGCUCAAGCAGAGGAAAAAAAUGAUGAUACUGUGCACAGUGCUAGAAAACGUCCGAAUAUGAGCAGAGACAAUGAAAAUGUAGAAGGAAUUCUUAAGGUCAGAAACAAGGCAUAUUCCAAAAAAGCAAGUCCUGAACUCCAUACUGAGCAAGGAAAGACACCAACAUUAGGAAAAAUGUCUUCAGCCUCUAGAUUGUUAAGAAGUGCGGACACACAUUUAAACCGGACUAGGAACAAAAAUACUUUUUCAAAACUGCAGAAGUCACUGCUUGAAGACUCGAGUACGUUUAUCAUGGAUAUUGAAAAACCUUCUGCUUUCCUCCCCAGCAUUUCUAAAGAUAGCUUAUUUUCAGACCAAAACAAUAAGGAAUGUAUAGAAAAAGUGUCUGUAGCUCAUAAGGUCUCAAAUUCUGUACAAAUGAGGGAAAAUAAUGUUGGGAGGAAAGAUAAAAUGGGGAGUUUAUUUACAGAACUUUCUACUCCCAAGGAAGGCAUACCUAUGGAGAGAGCAUUUUUUCAGCCAGCUGUUACAUUACAAGGUAUUCCACACAUCAACAAGGAAACACAUGAUACUGUAGAAAGUCCAGUAAUACCUUCUAGGGCUAGAAUACAGAGAAAUAAAACUAUUGAUGAUAAGCAGAAUAAAAACAAUAAAAUGCAAACAGAUGUGAGCUGUGUUGAGGUGAAGAUUUAUAAGCAGCAUAGUACUUUAGAUGCAGGUCAUUGUAAUGUAAACACUAACUGCUCUGGAAAUGUAUGUGUCCAUAAUGGCAGCAGGAAACAGAAGUCUGUGUAUUUUUGUAAUGAUGGUGAUAAAUUGUGUCAUGCUCAGAUCCAGAAUGCUGGUAAAAAUGGGAAUGAAACACCCAACGGAAAAUUGUUACAAGCUGGAGCACUACAAAAAGGCAACAGUCAUGCUAAAGAUUUUCUGAAAGACUCUCUAGUAAAAUCCAGAGCUAUUUGUGAUGCAAAUGAUGUUCGGAAUGGUCCAUCCUCUGGUCUGAUUUCUGUCUCUACAGACUUUGAUCAUAGCUUCCAGUUGGAUACUCAGACUGUGAGGAUAAUAAAACAGGAGGCAGCAGCUGGAAUCACACGACAGCAGGGAAUACAGGAUUUAGAACUGGCAGCAGUACCACAGCAGGAAAUCUCCAGGAAACUAAGCACUUUGCAGACUGAGAAUUGUACUGGGGAAAGGCUAGAUGCGACAGUAAGGAAACUAGGCUUAUCGAGUAUUAUCACAACAAAUAAUGUUAUUAAAAACACAGAUCAGCACUGCAGGAACAAAGUUUUGGAGUCUGGAGACCUUAAUGUACAGCCUGUAGCAAAAGAAAUAGAAUCUGUACCUGUCCUUGAAGGAAGUGACUACUCAGUGACUGAUUCUCAGCUACACAGUUUUCUACAGUAUUAUCAGACCCAAAAUUCAGUGAAAGGGGAGAGUGCUUCUAAAGGUCCUAAUAAAGCAACCUCCCCUCUUGGUAGGGAGCACUUAGUACAAGAAGAAUACCAUCCUGUCUUGGAAACAAGCCUGAAUAUGAGUGAUAGCUUGUUGUUUGAUGAUAGCUUCAGUAAUGUCAGUGAUCUUUCAGCUGUGAACAUCAUGGAAGCUGACAGAAAGGAACCUGAGGGGAGGCAGGGAGCUUCGCUUCCUGCAGAUGGCCUUUUGCAGAACCUAAGGCCUGUUCAGAAUAAAUCUGAUGUCAGUGACAGCCAGAGAGAGCAUGAGGAUCCAGCAAAGAAUAAUGAUGCAUCUCUAGCACUCUCUGAUCUCAUAGCUGAAGUUUUCGAUCAUGCAAACUCCCCAACUUUUUUGGGAGAUUUUCCUUGUACAUCUCAAAGUCAGCCUAAAUUAAGAAACAUGGUGAUUUGUGACAGUGACUCCAAUCCAAAGGAUUUAGAAGUGGAUCAUGGGGAAAAGCUCCAGUCUCACCAGCAAAUGUUAGGUAAGAAAACCCAUCCAGUAGUGUGGACUGACCACUCAUUUGAACUGAGCCCAGGACUUCAGGAGAUAUUAGACAAAUGGCCUAGUCCUUCAGGCAUUGAACUUGUUUCAGUAAAUCUAAAAAGCUCCUGUCUGAAAGGAAACUUAGUUGCUUCAAUUGCUAAUCAAGAGCCAGUUGCAAAUUUUGAAUUUGACCAUCAUCAGCUAGAGCCUUUGCCUAAUUGUCAGGAUUUAAAAUACUACUGCAAAGUUAAAGAAAACAAAACAAAAGACUUGGAUAUUCAGAAAUCAGACUGUGUAACACUUACGCUCAAGGGAAGCAACAGGAUGUCCUAUCCUCCACCAGAUAAUUGUAAUGGGUUUAUUCCUCCAACACCCCCCAAAGAACUUUUUCCAAAAAGUUCUAUAUCUUUCUCUGUGAAAUCUGCAAAGAAGAGACAGGUUGCCAGCAUGAAUGAAGAGCAACUGAUUCAGCCACAGCAGAAUUGCAAAGAUGAUGCAGACCAGCAGGUAGUUGAGAGGGUAGCCUCAACUGAGGCUGAUGAGAUAGAAGAUGAUUCCAUUAUAGACAAAGACUUUUCACUGCAGCUGUCUCAGGAUGUUUUUCCACUCACUUCCUCAAGUGCUGAAGGUUUCACUAUUGUUGAUGUAGCAGGUGACAAAACACUUUUCCAGACUUUUCUUGCAGAAUGGAGGGAGAAAAGCAGAUUCUCCAUCUCAGUGGCAUGUGAAAGAAGUAAAUGUCUUUUGUCAACCAAAUCAACAAUUGGUGGCAGAUUCAAACAAGGAAAUCCUCCCCAGUGGAAUCAGGUCAAAGAUGAUGGAUUUCCUGUCCAACACUGUGAAGACAUCUUGGUAGUUGGACUGGCAGUCUGUUGGGGUGGAAAAGAUGCCUACUAUAUAUCUUUGCAGCAGAUGCAAGACCAGACUGAAAUCAGUCUGAGUUUGGCACCACCACCUUUGGACAAAAACCUAUCUGUAACAGAGAGACUGCAUCAUCUGCAGCUGUACCUGCAGGAGAAGCAGGAGCGCUCACUUGUCAUGUAUAACUUCAUUCAGCACUACAAGACCCUGGUGAUGGCAUGUGGCAUCUCCUUGGAAGGAAGUUUUGAGGACCCAAAGGUUGCUUAUUGGCUGCUUGAUUCUGGCUCCAAGGAAUGUACCCUUCACAGUAUGGUGACUAACUUUCUACCCAGUGAGCUGCCUCUUCUGGAAGGGGUAGGCACUGGCCAGGGGGUUCAGAGCCUGGGGCUUAGCGCCAGUGAAGAUCAUUCUGGACGGUACAGAGCAGCAAUAGAGUCUGUGCUCAUCUUCAAUGUCAUGAACCAACUCCAUAAUGAACUACAGAAGGAAAAUCUGUCAGAUGUGUUUUCUAAAGUGGAGAUGCCCAGCCAUUAUUGCUUGGCUCUGCUGGAGCUGAAUGGCAUUGGUUUUAGCACAGCAGCAUAUGAAACCCAGAAACAGGUCAUGCAAGCUAAAUUGACUGAGAUUGAGACCAAGGCAUAUCAACUGGCAGGCCACAGUUUCUCCUUGACCAGCCCUGAUGACAUUGCAGAGGUUUUGUUUCUGGAGUUGAAGUUGCCACAAAAUGGAGAUGUGAAAGUUCAAGGGAACAAGAAAACUCUGGGUUACACCAGAAGAACAACUGUUAAAGGAAACCGGGUUAGGUUGAGCAAGCAGUUCAGUACAACCAAGGAUGUUUUGGAGAAAUUAAAGACACUUCACCCAUUGCCAGGGCUCAUACUGGAAUGGAGAAGGAUCAACAAUGCAAUUUCUAAAGUGGUGUUUCCACUACAGAGGGAAAAACGAUUCAAUUCUGCACUGGGAAUGGAACGGAUAUAUCCCGUGUCACAGACUCACACAGCUACAGGUCGAAUAAGUUUUGCAGAGCCAAAUAUCCAGAAUGUGCCAAGAGAUUUUGAGAUUGAAAUGCCGAUUGUAGUUGAAGAAAGCCCACCCUUCCGAACCCAUGGAAAUGUUUAUUCUCGUGCUGUUUCCAGAGUCAGAGGUAGAAAGCAUUCCAGUAUUUUGCCUAAUGGUGUAAACCUUUGUGCUGAAGACAGAGCUGAAAGAAGAGGAAUCCCGUUUUCUGUUAGUAUGCGGCAUGCUUUUGUUCCCUUCCCAGGUGGCUUUAUCUUGGCUGCUGAUUAUUCUCAGCUUGAAUUGAGGAUCCUUGCUCAUUUGUCUCGUGACUGUCGACUCAUUGAAGCCUUGAACAGGGGUACCGAUGUCUUUAAGAGCAUUGCAGCAGAAUGGAAGAUGAUUGAUUCUGAAGCUGUUGGAGACAGCACCAGGCAACAAGCUAAGCAGAUUUGCUAUGGAAUCAUCUACGGAAUAGGAGCAAAAUCUUUAGGCGAGCAGAUGGGCAUUGAUGACAAUGAAGCUGCCAGAUACAUCGAAUCCUUCAAAUCAAGAUAUGCAGGUAUUCAGAAAUUCUUGAAGGAGACAGUAAGUAACUGCAGAAGAGAUGGGUUUGUGCAGACCAUCCUGGGAAGACGGAGAUACCUGCCAGCUAUCAGAGAUUCAAAUCCCUACAGUAAAGCUCAUGCAGAGCGCCAGGCUGUGAACACAACUGUUCAGGGAUCCGCUGCUGACAUUGUCAAAACAGCCACUGUGAACAUUCAGAGACGCUUGGAAGCUCUCUCUUCUGUGACCAAGUCCCAUGGACAUCUGGAGAACUCAUUCCAGAAAGAUAAGACAGGAAGGCUGUCGAGGAAGAGAAACAGAGAGAUGCUGCAUCCCAUCAGUGGAGGUUUCUUCAUCCUUCAGCUCCAUGAUGAGCUCCUCUAUGAAGUUGCAGAAGAUGAUGUGAUCCAGGUAGCUCAGAUUGUCAAGCAUGAGAUGGAAAAUGCUGUCAAACUCUCAGUAAAACUGAAUGUUAAAGUGAAAAUUGGACCUAGCUGGGGAGACCUGCAGGACCUGGAGCUAUAGAUGUGAAAACAUGGCUUUCUUGGUUUUGGAAGACAACGUGAGCUGCUCAGGGCAAGGCCCAGCGCACCGGCAGGCAGCGGCAGGCCUCCUGCUUGUGUUUCUGUGGUCAUCACUGCGAACUGUCUUCUGAACUGGGUCGUGGAAGCUGCUAUGAAUUCACCGUGCUGAGCCUUCCAAAGCCGUCUGCUAGGAGCGUUCUGCAGUGGUUUCUGCAGCUGAUGUGGAAGUGCGGAGGUGGCUUUCAGCUGGUUGCGUUUCUCACGGAGCAGCCGUGCACAGUGAGCGCAACUUCAUGACAGAGUUUGAACUCUUCUAACUAACAAAACCUCCAGCAAAAGCCUUCAUUUUUAAAUAAUGAAGAAAAAUAAGAAAAACAUCUCAGUCUGCUCCUCCUCGGUGCAAACAACCUCUGUCUUCCCAUACUUGCCUCCUCUGAGAAACCUUCCAGCCCCUAAUUAUUCUCCUUUCAUUUCUGAACUUUGCUGGAUCCUUUGUCAGAAGUGGCCUUUUGAAGUUUCCUUUAUAACUGGGCCGGAGAUGCUGCGCGGUUGGCUUUGAGCAGCCUGAGAGCGUGUUGGAGCUGUGAACUUUAAAUGCAGAGGUUUUGGGGCAGCUGUUAUCCUGACAUCAAGAAGCGCUGGGCACUGAUGUUUCAUGAGAAUGGUGAGUUUGAAAAGGUGUUAAUGGGGCCUGUGCACAAAAGGCCACAUCCUGGGCUUUAAGCACAGAAUCACAGGGGUUGGAAGGAACAUCAAGAUAUCAAGUCCAACCCUCUGCUAAAGCGUGUACCCUACAAUAGGUCACACAGGUAAGCACCCAGAUGGGUCUUGAAUAUCUCCAUAGAAGGAGACUCCACAACCAAUCUGGGCAGCCCUGUGCCAGUGCUCUGUCACCCUUACCGUAAAGGGCCUGCAUGUCAUGCAGCAGAACAGACACAUGGAGGCAGGCACUAAGCAGUGAUGCCCCACUGCCCUUCCCAGCACUGAGCUGACCUGCCUGCCUGUUUUAUCUUUUUCUUCACUUUGCAUUGAGAUUUUUUUGUUUCCUUUCUGCCCUCUCUGCAUGGUGGUUUUCCACCACAUCUGUCACCUGAUAGCUGAGCUCUUUAUCCAUGGCAUUCGCUUGAUAGGCAGUCACUUCCUUUCAAUUCUGGGCAUAUUAAAGCUUUGUUAUUACCAGACCUGAACCACGGCCCCCCGGUGUCAGACCAUUUGUGCGCUCUGCCUGUAUCGAUGCUGGGUUGGAUUCAUCGCCGAUUCACACGGCCUGAUGAGUUCCUUUCCCUGGGUGUCAUGCAGCGAUGCACCUGUGCUGGAUUUCAGGCCUCCCUGCAGCCUCUGUAAUUUGCGCUGCUCUCCAGCACAUGGCAGCGUUUGCCUCCUGCAGGCUGCCUGUAGGAGUUCAGAAGGUGGUUCUCAGCAAGCCCCCCAGACAGGGAUGCUAAUCAAUGAAAUGACUGACGCCGAACUAAACUUAUUUUGAUAAACAAACUUGAUGACUUCAUUAUAAUUAAGCAGUAAUUUGGAGAAAAUGGGAUGAUAAAAGUGGCCACUGCUCUGUGAGGCAGCUGCUGUGUUUGAGUCACGAUAGCAGAACUGGUUCUGAGCUGCUGCCUGAUUGCUGCUAUUUACAUCUCUUCAUUCUGAGUAGACUUCACCGAUCAAUGACUCUCAUUGAUUCCCCUGAGCACGGGAAGCAAAACAGGACUUAGGUAAGUUGAGGCAUUGCCGGGAAUGGUGCUGAAAGCGAAACCUGUUUAUUUCUGGAGCUGGUAGGUGAGCCAGGAAGAGGUUGGCUAUGUGUAUUGUUUACUAUUUAUUUAAUAUUAUUUAUUAUUUUUUUGUGUGAGUCUCCCCCCCACACCCCGCAGUAGGCCAAGGCCCAAUGGGAAAUAGCUCUUCUCUGGCUCCAGAGUGUGUACUUGGAGCACGGGUCCCUCUUUGUUCUCCUGGAGCCAGGAUGCGAUGCCUCUGUGUGCUUGCUCUCUGUCCUUCUGGCUGCUGGAGUCUCUUUCCAGCCCACUUCUUUGGUCACUCAGCACCACAGUGUGUGUGCACAGUGCCUUAUAUGGUCCAGCAGCCCAGGAGAAAGAUUGGGGGACACAUGGAGAGGAUAGGAGUCGUGUUUGUUAUGGCGUUUUGUCACUCGGCACAUGGAGUUGCUCCUACCUGCUCCUGCCAUUCUGCAAGGCUGGUGCAACAGCAGGUGAGUGUCUGGCUGCCAGGAGGGAUAGGAUCCAGUGCCAGCAAACAGCUGCACUCACCAGACCUGCACUGCAGGUCACAGUGUGACCCCAUAUGCCCCAAAUUCUCACAUGGACAGCCCAUUCCCAUGACUUGUUGAGCAGUCUUGUUCUACUCGGUUCACAUCCAUUUUCCUAUCAUAAUGGCUCACAUUUCAUCCUACCAGUGAACCCUUUUCUGUAUGGAGCAGAGCUUCCUGGACUUGAUAUGAGGAACAGCUCCCAUCAGUAGCUGAUAAGGCUCCUCGAGCACUUUCUUCUUAUGUGUACAGCAACCUUAUUUAGAACUGCUUGUUUUGACAAAGCUCUCCUACUACAAGUGCUCUGUACUUUGCUGUAAGGGCAGCAGAUGAAGACAGAUGACAAAAUCUGGCAUGCUAGUGCUCUGAUCUGGUUUGGGCCUUCUGCUUUUCUCGCAUUCUAUUCUUAUUUUAUCAAGAGCUGUAGAGUUUUUCCUGCCAUUUUUUUCCUAUAAAUCUGUAGCUGGAAUAGGGAAGGUGAACUGGAAUGGAAGCACAGUAGCUUUGGCUGAUAUUUUUGAGCCUCCUGUGGCAGAGCAACUGCAUCACAUUGCUGUCUAAGUGGCCUUAAACAGGCUUGCUUUUGCACUGCUGAGAGAUCAGCCUGUAUGGGACUGUUCUUCCCCUGUGGUGGAAGUGACAUGAAGGGCACUCAAUGGAGAAGUCCAGGAGUGAGGCUAAUACUCCCAGGGAUGGGUGUUAUGCUCAUGAGCAACUUGUAAAGCACAGGAGCAUGGCCUGGGUUCAGGCUUUGCCUCCAUUUGAGCUGUCAGAGGAAGGGAUGUGACUGUCCUGGUCUCAGCAACAGCUGCUGUGGGAUUUCCUGAGUCCCUAAGUGAGCGGUGUAACCUCCAUCCAAACGUUCUACACAAGCCCCUCACCUUUUGAACUACUACAAAGAAUCUAAGAGUACAAAUUGAAAAAAAGAGAGCUCUACACCAACUAGUUAGCAAUUCUUUAUUUUCUUUCCCUCUUUUUUUAAAUUUUUUCUCCUAAAUAGGGAACUCAAAACAGCUUCAGUUCAAGCUGCUGUAGGUUUCCUGUUGUGGAGCGGCCCUGGGAUACCCAUGGGAACAGGAUGGGGUUUGCACAGUGCGUGUGGCUCACCCCAGCUCUGCCCUCCUUCUGCGAUGGAUGUGAUGAUUGUUAAACCCAUACAGACUCUGUCCACCGAAAUGACACCAAAUCUGAGAACUGCUAUUUAAAAAAGUACAAUGUUUGAGCUGUUGAUUUAAUCACAGAACACAUGAAUGGAAACACGGAUUUACGUGCCGAUCGCUCACACCGAGAUGAAGCGCUGACUCCAAAUGGCCACACGUGGCUCCUUAAUGAGAGAGAGUGUGUUCAUACUGAGCCUGUGCCACGGCAAAAAAAACAUCCCAUACUGAAAUACUCUGUGCUUGAAUUCACCUUUAGGUUAUGGACAAUGAUGUGUGGGUGCCAGGAUACUAACGGGUGUAAGUAAAUGAACUGGGGCUCUUUGCUUCCGUUACAAUAUGCCCAGUUCAUAAAUGGAGGAGCCCUGAGGUGUAACACAGCUUUGAGCUGAGCUGCAGUAUUUUCUUCACUUUUCAAAUUGUAUCCUGAAAAAAAAAUAUAUAUUCUUGUAUGCAUAAUCUUCAUUGUAAUACAUUCCGGUGUAAAAUGGCUUUUAUAAAAGGGCUUUGUAAACCGUUUCAGAGAAUUUCUAGACGUGAUAAUUUUAUACAACAUGUGCAGCAAACAGAGUUUCUGUGAAACAUUGACAGAGGAAGCUACAGUGGUAAUACAGGGGAUGGUUAAGGGAUGUAAACAAGAGAUUGGAGAACUGUGGGAAAAAAAAUCAUUUAGAAAACAGUAAUUAUAUGAAACAAAGCCCAAUUCUCACUUUUUCCUCCAGCUUAUCUUCACUCAGCAUCUGAAGCUUCAAUUAACACUCCAUUGAAUGGGUUUGUUUAUUUAACAAAAUAGCUUGUACUUCACUGGAGCCUUGCCUACUCUGAAAGCAUACAAAUAGUCUGAUUUUAUGUAUUUUCUCUGCAUGUUCAGUCUAUAUGCAGCUCUAUGAAUACACAUACAUGAACAUAUCUGGUCAAACCCAUUGUUUGGGCGCAUCAGGUUUGGGGAUGGGGUUGUGAGUGGGCACUCCUGUAACGAAGAACGGGAGGGAGAAGGGCAUCCAGGUGAACAAAAGCAUCUUACAUGGAACAAAUAUUUCCAGGCAUUCUAUUGUAACAGGAUUACACGGUUGGAGAUACCUCUAUGUGUAGGUGGUGCUCUUAGUGGAAAAGUGAAAG